Non-coding RNA from Drosophila virilis, 1233 nucleotides. The record is from RefSeq and is a predicted model, not a curated record. NCBI's taxonomy places the organism in Eukaryota, Metazoa, Arthropoda, Insecta, Diptera, Drosophilidae.
AUAAAUAUAAAUUAAGUAUUUUCUGUGUCAUUAGUACAUUUCUUUGUUAUAAAAGCUAUUUAUUUUACGUUAUUCAAGUGGGUCUUUCUUUUACCUACCGCAGCGGCUGCCAAGCCAUGGCAGCUAUUGCACACAGCGACCUCAUCACAUUAUUGGCUUACAUAACCCGAAACGUUGAGGCAAAUCCAAAACAGACAGCAAUCAGCAUCAAUGUGUGCGCUGCAGCUCUUCAUUCAACGACGACAGAGGCAGAGGCAGCGUCUGGACCAACGUGUGCCGCCGCGCUUCAUCUCUGAUAAGCGGCAACUGCACCUACAGCGAUAUGUUUUCGCGAUCACCAGGCAGAGAUUUGCUGGCGAUAACGACUCAAGUGUCACACGCCCACAUUUUUGGAGCAGCGGGCCAGAGGUUGCCGUUGCCGUUGCCGCUGCCUGGACCCAUGCCCAUGCAUUUAGCUGAAGCCAUUUGCACAUGCGCCACGCCAAUAAACUUGUACCCACCACCGAGGCACGCUUUGAUCCUCAUCCACAGUCUCCGACUUGAGCUCCAGCAACUCAAAGGGGGUCGGCACACGCUUGCCGCGUUUCGUUUUCUCUUCUUUGCUUUUGCGGUCUGGGCUGUGUUGCCCAGUCUGCCGCCGUCUCCUGUCCUGGCUUGGCUUUCUGGCCUGGGCUGGCCUGGCCUGGCCGGGUCUGGGCACUGCGCAUAAAUCGACGGACCCAGCGAGCGCCGGCGGCAAUUAUCGCGAUAUGAUAAACAAAUAUUUUUGCAUCUAACCCACGUCGCCGACUGAGGACCAACAGUUUCUGGCAUUCUGGCGCUUAAUUAUGAACUCUGUGCCUGGCUCUUUUUUUUUUUUUUGGAGGGUUUUUCUUUUUUGUAAUAUGUGUGUGUAGUUAAGAGCUUUACGCGUGGCCGAAUGCACUUUUACCUGGCUGGCAAAGUACCUGGCACUGUCGAGGGCUUGGCCUGGCCCAAGUUGUUGCAAGUAUGCAAUUUAGAAGCUUAUCGCUCUUCGGAUACGAAUCGGUCGGCGUUUUGGCUGCAUGCGAAGUGGGUGGAGGAAUGAUAUAAAAAUUAAAUAUGGCUCUAUUUGAAUAUUAAUAUUUGUAUACUCUAAAAAAGGGCAUAUUAACUAUGAAAUGUGUGUGGCAGCUAAAAUAAUGCCGUUGAUUCUAUAAUGUAUUUAUGAUCUUGGACAAUUUGAAGCAAAGCUAUUUUGUUAAAACUCUG